This is a long non-coding RNA of Cyprinus carpio carpio, 1260 nucleotides long. The record is from Ensembl. Lineage: Eukaryota; Metazoa; Chordata; Actinopteri; Cypriniformes; Cyprinidae.
GCAUCAGAAUUCUGUCAGCAUUGUCCCAAUCCAAAAACAUGCAAGCCACAGGAGAUUCAGACCAAGAUGUCGGAGGGCGAGCGGCCAUUCGAAAACGCACAGGACGACGGCAAUGAUGACGGAGAUGAUGUGCUUAGCAUGGAGGAGGAGCUGUGCUUAAGACUUGACACUAUGAGGGACUUUUUCCUCCAGCAGCUGAAGGCCAUAAGAUACUCGCUGUUUUCAUCUCAGACCAAGGUGCACAAGGAUUUAAAAGCCUUCAAGGAGUCCAUCUUGACGGAGGAGCUGAAUUUCUACAGAGAGAGGCUAGAGGCAAAGGUAACAUCUGACUUCCAGCUGCUGGAGGAAAACUGCAAUUCUGCUAAACGUGAUGUUGUUGAAAUGGUGAAGGCCGUUGGGGAAUCUGUGACCAAGAGGAUGGAUGCGGUGGACAGGAUAUUCCUGGCUUCGAGGAUCACUGCAAUGGAAGCGGAGGUCCGCAACACGGUGCCUUCUUUUGAAGCGAGCACGCCGACACGCCGUGCUCAUGGCCUUUUGAGCAGAGCUGAAGCACUUUCCUCCACCCAGGUGACAGAUGUGGGACAAGACACGGAGAUCUUCCUGGACCUUCAGAGUGUGGCUUCUUCAUCUCCGAUCAGCCCUGGUCAGCGUGCGGUGUUGACCACAGCAACGUCCUUUGAAUCCAGCUCUGACCAGAACCCAGAACGAGAUGAAGCACUUUCCUCCACCCAGGUGACAGAUGUGGGACGCGACACUGAGAUCUUCCUGGACCUUCAGAGUGCGGCCUCUCCGUCUCAGAUUGGCCCGAGUCAGCUUGCGGUGUUGACCACAACAACGUCCUUUGAAUCCAGCUCUGACCAGAACCCAGAACGAGAUGAAGCACUUUCCUCCACCCAGGUGACAGAUGUGGGACGUUCCCACUCUUUAAUUAGUCUAGGGGAAUGGAGGAAUACGUAACAAAGAAAAGGAAAAUCCACAUGGAGCCUCUCAUCCCAGUCCCAGCUCUGAAGAACACUGCCAACCACUAAAGGAUCCACUAUAAUUUGAUUUAUUAUAUUUCUUUAACACAUGCAGGAGUAGCAAGAACAAAGCAAACAGGCUUCAGGAGGGGGCAUAGCCAAAAUAACAAACAAAACAGCAGCUUACUCCAUUUUGAAACUAACUUACCUAGCACAGGGACAAAAAUAAAUAACAAAAAAAGACAAUAUACUUCCUUAACUACCUAACUUUUCCAAAAAACAGGAGAAAAGGAGUUAAAAG